UGAGCAAUCUGCCCUUCUCUUCGGAAUAAGCGUUGGAAACGACGCCUAAUGCCGAAUACGACCUCCUUUCACAUGAUCGGAGGUGGAAAGCUCCGGCGGAGAAGGAUGAGCUCGCGGCCUAUCAGCUGGUUGGUGUGGGUAAUGGCCCACAAGGCGACGACGGGUAGCCGGCCUGAGAGGGCGACCGGCCACACGUGGGACUGAGACACGGCCCAGACCUCCGUACGGGAGGNAGCG
Molecule: ribosomal RNA, 237 nt
Filed under: uncultured bacterium
Lineage: Bacteria
Description: partial 16S ribosomal RNA
Rfam family: Bacterial small subunit ribosomal RNA
Source: RNAcentral